Molecule: long non-coding RNA, 310 nt
Filed under: Citrus maxima (pomelo)
Lineage: Eukaryota; Viridiplantae; Streptophyta; Magnoliopsida; Sapindales; Rutaceae
Description: long non-coding RNA (CMAX_LNC003554)
Source: RNAcentral
AAGGCUAUUGUCUUCGAACAAAGGGCAAGACGGCAUUGCCAGCUUCUUCUGUCUUCUGCUUUUGAUCAAUGAGAGCUAAGAAUGGUUGUGUGGGGUGUGUUAUGUAGCCUGUAGAUGCUUGUGGUAUUUGAAUUGUAAUUCUAACUCCUAUGAUGAAUUUAUUAUUUAAUAAGCAUCAGCUCUGUUCAGAGAAAGGUUGUAUUUUUGAAGUAUGGACUAUGGAGAAGUAACCUAAAAUGAUGGCUAGUCUUUUUUGGGGUGGCACCCACUUGCUCAUUUCUCUUUGAGGUAACUUGUGCUUAAGUGGCUU